This 253-nucleotide ribosomal RNA is filed under the name uncultured bacterium. RNAcentral's name for it is "partial 16S ribosomal RNA". It matches the Rfam family "Bacterial small subunit ribosomal RNA", at positions 524 to 776 of the family's 1533-position model. The record is from RNAcentral.
UACGGGGGGGGCAAGCGUUGUUCGGAAUUACUGGGCGUAAAGGGCUCGUAGGCGGCCAACUAAGUCAGACGUGAAAUCCCUCGGCUUAACCGGGGAACUGCGUCUGAUACUGGAUGGCUUGAGUUUGGGAGAGGGAUGCGGAAUUCCAGGUGUAGCGGUGAAAUGCGUAGAGAUCGGGAGGAACACCAGUGACGAAGGCGGCUUGCUGGGCCGGACCUGACGCUGAGACGCGAAAGCCAGGGGAGCGAACAGG